AGCGAACGCUGGCGGCAGGCUUAACACAUGCAAGUCGAACGGGCAUAGCAAUAUGUCAGUGGCAGACGGGUGAGUAACGCGUGGGAACAUACCUCUUGGUUCGGAACAACACAGGGAAACUUGUGCUAAUACCGGAUAAGCCCUUACGGGGAAAGAUUUAUCGCCGAGAGAUUGGCCCGCGUCUGAUUAGCUAGUUGGUGUGGUAAAAGCGCACCAAGGCGACGAUCAGAGCUGGUCUGAGAGGAUGAUCAGCCACAUUGGGACUGAGACACGGCCCAAACUCCUACGGGAGGCAGCAGUGGGGAAUAUUGGACAAUGGGCGCAAGCCUGAUCCAGCCAUGCCGC
Molecule: ribosomal RNA, 345 nt
Filed under: uncultured bacterium
Lineage: Bacteria
Description: bacterial SSU rRNA
Rfam family: Bacterial small subunit ribosomal RNA
Source: RNAcentral